ACUGCCGUGAUGUUGAAGAUACGAAGGACGAAGCUGGCACCCUGGCCUAUCUGAGCAGAAAGUUUGCCACCCUAAGCCCACCACCACCUUGGGUGGUCCCCCAGCGGGCGGCGCGAAGCCUGGCCAAAAAAGUUACCGGCGAGGUGCAGGGGGAGCGGCGCCUCGCAUAUAGAUAAGUGCAGUAAUGCACCUGAGGACUUGGCGGGAGCGGGCUCGCCCUGCCCACCUCCCCACCUGUUUCCUGCGGUGGAGGCGUAGGGGGUGCUGGGAGGGCGCACGCCCGCAGGCCGCGGCCGGCGGAGUGUGAGCGCCGAGAUACCGCAGUCACCGUGGAGGCUGGAAACAUCCAGCUCCUUGGGUGAAGGUGGCCAGCAGGCAUCAUCCCCGACCCGCGGUAACUUUGUGGAGGGAAGGUUCAGUGGGAUUUGCUCUCGCACGUACAGAAGGCGCUGAGGGAAAUACGGGCCUCGUCACCGGCUCUGUCCUUCGGCGGCGGUGGGUACAGAAUCAGAGCCCGGCCGGCAAGGACCCUCCAGUUACAGGGGAGGAAGGUUGGAGCUUAGUGCCCUGUGUGACUAGGUUGCUGUUCUAUACCACUCCGAUCAUUACAGGGGGAGUUGUCCUAGGGGAAGAAAAGGCAUGGUUCUAAAACACGGUGUCAAAAAGAGACAACGCAGCUCCAAGAUGCGCUGGAAAUCAGCCCUAGUGUAGGAAGCGACACGGGAAGCCAGGCAGUGGAGGCAAGCCCAGCUGAGCCUGACCACAGCCAAAAGGAGUCAAGCUGAGCCAAGCUGAAGCUGCUGAGCCAAAGGGAGCUGAGUGGAGCCGGGCAGAGCAGUCAAAAGCAGCAGAGCCAGGAACAGCUGCAUGGGAUAGAGUGCAGUGUCUGAAGCCGUGGUGCCUCACAACACAUGCUAUCUGGCUCUGGGGGGCUUGUCCCACGGUCUUUUCCAUUGUUGUGGGUACACAGAGCCAGCUGCAAGAAGUGGCUGCCAUCUUGUCUUUGUCCCAUGAGUCAUACAGACACAAGCUGUGGUGGGGUGUCGGCCGUCUUAUUUUGUCACAGCAGACACACGAAAGCAAGCUGAGGUGGUGAGCACCUUUUCCCUGUGUAAAGCACCUUUCUUUUUUGUAUUAAUAUUUUAAUAAAUUUUGCUUCUGUUACUA
Parus major (Great Tit) is the source of this 1167-nucleotide long non-coding RNA. RefSeq lists it as uncharacterized. Lineage: Eukaryota; Metazoa; Chordata; Aves; Passeriformes; Paridae. The transcript has 3 exons. The record is from RefSeq and is a predicted model, not a curated record.